AAAUUUUAUAUUUUAUUUCCUUGUAUGUCAAGAAACAUAGCUCCUAUGGCUAAAAUAGAACAUAGGAGAAAAUGAUUAUUUUUUUUGGCUUUUGAAGAAAAUAGGACGAUCCAAAAAAACAUUUAAAUAAAUUGAAAAGCCAAAAUAAUCAUUGAUGAGAGAUUUAACCAAAAGAAUUAAGGUGAGCGAUUCAGGCUCUUGAGAGCCUCUUGUUUUUUUA
This 220-nucleotide long non-coding RNA is filed under the name Mytilus galloprovincialis (Mediterranean mussel). The record is from RNAcentral. Lineage: Eukaryota; Metazoa; Mollusca; Bivalvia; Mytilida; Mytilidae.